RNAcentral lists this ribosomal RNA (442 nucleotides) under uncultured bacterium. Its description in RNAcentral is "bacterial SSU rRNA". It matches the Rfam family "Bacterial small subunit ribosomal RNA", at positions 958 to 1398 of the family's 1533-position model. The record is from RNAcentral.
AACGCGAAGAACCUUACCUACCCUUGACAUCCUUGGGAUUUUGCAGAGAUGCGAGAGUGCCGAAAGGAACCAAGAGACAGGUGCUGCAUGGCUGUCGUCAGCUCGUGUUGUGAGAUGUUGGGUUAAGUCCCGUAACGAGCGCAACCCUUAUCCUUAGUUGCCAACAUGUGAUGGUGGGGACUCUAAGGAGACUGCUGGUGAAGAACCGGAGGAAGGUGGGGACGACGUCAAGUCAUCAUGGCCUUUAUGGGUAGGGCCACACACGUGCUACAAUGGGGUGUAACAAAGGGAAGCCAACCUGCAAAGGGGAGCGAAACUCAGAAAACACGUCGUAGUCCGGAUUGGAGUCUGCAACUCGACUCCAUGAAGAUGGAAUCGCUAGUAAUCGCGAAUCAGAAUGUCGCGGUGAAUACGUUCCCGGGCCUUGUACACACCGCUAGUC